UAAUAUAAACAAAACUUAAGCACUAUAAAAAUAUAAAGAGAGAGAGCAAGAACAUGAUCUUGAUCUGAAAACCAAGAUGCCUAAAUGCAUGGCAAAUGCCUCAAUUUAUAGGCCAAAAUUUGGAACUAUUGAUGUGAUGACUAAUUAUUGAGUGGGUGGCCACAUCUUGACUUGGUGACAAUCCUUAUCUUCUUGUCUGAACAAAACAUAAUUGCUAAUGUCAGAAUUUGAACAGAUUGUUCGCAUGAAAGUUCUAGGAAAUUGUCUCAGCUUUCCAACUUAAAAAAAAAUCGGUGCAUUUGGACUUCUAGAACUCAAGAUAUGGGCUGAACACUGAACAGUGUCUGGGCUGCAGGACAGAUUCUGACUUCUCCGUUGUUGCUAAGAUUUGGACUUCCAAACAGUAGAAUUGAGUCUUGGACUCCGCAUGAAUGUUUUAGGCCUAUGUCUUAGCUUUCUAGCCAUAUAAACCAAAUUGAAAUCCAAGAUCUACAGCUCCAGAUAUGACCUAAUGACUGAACAGUGUUCCUGUUUGGACUGAACCAACAUCUCUUUUCUAAGCUUGCCCCUCUCUUUGUCUUCUUAAUUUCAGUAGUUAAACUCAUCAACCAAUCCUUUGAUUUAUGUGACAGACCUGCAUUUAAGAUGAACAUUUACCAUAAAUUAAAGGUAUCUUAUAGUAUCAGACUUGUUAUUAUAAAACAUGCUUUAGUUAAGGAGUUAUUGAUACUUCAAGUGCAAAAUAAUGAUACAAAACCUUGAUAAAAAUGCACUUUUAAGUACUGAUCAUCCAUCUAUGACUCAGAUUAAAUAUUUAUGCUCAUGAAUAAAACUAUAUUUUGAAUUUAUUAUAAGCUCGUACGUCGAGAUAAAUCCUUAUAGGAAGAAUCCAUGUAGGUUCACCUAUCUUGGAAGGCAAAUGUGUUUCCCACAACUCGUAUAUUGUGGUGAAAAAUACUUCAUAUUAAAAAAGUUCUGAGAAUUUCCUAGUCAACUCUUGAUAUUUAAAUAUCAGUCUACUUAUAGGUUCAAUAUUUAUACCAGAAUAUUGACAAUUAAUUUUCAGAGAAAAAAGAAGAAGAAAACUUAGGGUUAUUGAAAUAUUGGUCAAAUCCAUGAGGAAUUUUAUAAACUUGUUGUAAAUUCUACAAAAAAUUCAAAGAAAUACAAAUUAUUUUCUAAAACAAUGCUAAACCACUUUUUCUCUGUUUUUUAUAAAUAAAAUGCAAUUUUUUAUAAGGAUUGGGUCGUAUGCAACAAGCGGAAAUCAUUUUUUUUUAUCAUAUGCAAUUAAAACAUUGUAUUAAUUAAAUUUGUUCCUUUUCCUUAUUUUUUAACAAUUAUUUAACACAAAAUAAAAUAAAAUAAAAUAAAAUGCAAACACACACACCCUUUUUUCACUAAUUACUCACACACCAAAAAAUUACACGUUUACAAAUCACCAAAAAAUCAAAUUCUAACAAUAAUUUAAAACACACUUAAAAUUAAAAAAAUUACAAAAUAGUUCUUCAAAAAGUUGAAAACAGGUUAGAGAGAUUGCUGGGAACUCAGGAAGCAUACUAGAAGCUUCUGAAAUUGCUGGAAUAGUGGUGGCAUGUGGGUCUCACACACCACCACCACUGGCAGCGCGUGGAACCACACAUCGUCACCUUUGAGAAGAGAAAUUUGAUGGAUUAGGAGAAAUCUUUCCUUCUCUUUCUUCAUGUGAUGACAGUGAAUCCCACUAUCAACUGCAAAACAAAAAAAAUCACAUAAUAUAGUCGAUUGAAUUAUUUCUUAUAUCUGUUCUUCCUGGUUAAUUAACUUCCUAUACUAUUUCUUCUUCAUAAGCCAUUGUGCCAAGGAGUAGUUGGUAAGACUAAAAAGGAAUGGGAUGGUUCAUGGUGCUAGUGGUGUUGCUUCCGUGUGUGGUGGUUGCUGCUACUCCUUUGCUAUUGUUGAUGGUUGAAGAUAGAUGACGAUGGUAGUAAAAAGAAGGAGCUAUGGUUCACAGCGCAAAAAUAGGCUGCCACGAGUAGUGUUGGUUUCAGUUGGUUGGGAGAAAAACUGUGAGGGGGAUGUUUUAAUGGUUACCGGCCCUGUGGGUGGUGACAACCAUGGGUGUUUGUCUUCCAAGGGUUGAUGUAGGACGGGCACGACUCUUGGUUUUGAGUGGUUGUCUUGAGAGUGUGUUUUGCUUUUGGGAUAGGGAAGAUGGUGCUUGGCCGUGAGGAAAAUAACCGAUGAUGAUAAAGAGAGAAGAUGUGUGGUAGCUAGCGAUGAGGAAGAAAAAAAUAAGAGUGAGGAGCAAUAUUUGUUGGUUGUUGCUUGGUUCUCGGGUGGUGGUGCUGCAUUGAUUACGGGUGAAGGGGGAGCCAAUAGUUUGACAAUGAUGAGGAAGAAGAUCGAUUGUGAUGGAAGGCCUGGUUCCUUUUAUUUCAAAAUGAGUCACCCUUUUUUUUAUGGUGGGGUGUGUUGGACCAGAAGGUCCAUGGCGUGGCACAAUGUCUUCAUCCUUUUAUCUAUGGCGGUUGGUGUUUUAAAAAUGGGAAACAUAAGGUUGUUAGGGUUUUUUUAAUGGAUGAGAGGUAGUAUUUGAAUAACUUAUUGAAUAUGCCAUUUCCC
This 2604-nucleotide long non-coding RNA is filed under the name Populus trichocarpa (black cottonwood). RNAcentral's name for it is "long non-coding RNA (PTRI_LNC001222)". The stretch from base 307 to 462 matches the Rfam family "MIR2912 microRNA precursor family". Lineage: Eukaryota; Viridiplantae; Streptophyta; Magnoliopsida; Malpighiales; Salicaceae. The record is from RNAcentral.